GACGAACGCUGGCGGCGUGCUUAACACAUGCAAGUCGAGCGAUGAAGUUCCUUCGGGAACGGAUUAGCGGCGGACGGGUGAGUAACACGUGGGUAACCUGUCUCAUAGAGGGGAAUAGCCUUUCGAAAGGAAGAUUAAUACCGCAUAAGAUUGUAGCUUCGCAUGGAGUAGCAAUUAAAGGAGUAAUCCGCUAUGAGAUGGACCCGCGUCGCAUUAGCUAGUUGGUGAGGUAACGGCUCACCAAGGCGACGAUGCGUAGCCGACCUGAGAGGGUGAUCGGCCACAUUGGGACUGAGACACGGCCCAGACUCCUACGGGAGGCAGCAGUGGGGAAUAUUGCACAAUGGGGGAAACCCUGAUGCAGCAACGCCGCGUGAGUGAUGACGGUCUCCGGAUUGUAAAACUCUGUCUUCAGGGACGAUAAUGACGGUACCUGAGGAGGAAGCCACGGCUAACUACGUGCCAGCAGCCGCGGUAA
This 478-nucleotide ribosomal RNA is filed under the name uncultured bacterium. Its description in RNAcentral is "partial 16S ribosomal RNA". It matches the Rfam family "Bacterial small subunit ribosomal RNA", at positions 28 to 523 of the family's 1533-position model. The record is from RNAcentral.